Non-coding RNA from Pelobates cultripes (western spadefoot toad), 264 nucleotides. The record is from the annotation of a GenBank genome assembly. Lineage: Eukaryota; Metazoa; Chordata; Amphibia; Anura; Pelobatidae.
AAGGAGAGAGACAUACACACUCACAGACACAACGAGGGAGGGAAACACACACACACAGACAAAAACAGUCACAGACACAAAGAGAGAGAGGGACAAAGAGAGAGACAUACACAGACACAACAGAGAGACAAAGACAGACACACACAGAUAACAAACAGAGUAACAGACACAAAGAAGCAAAGAGAGAGAAAUAGAGACAAAGAGAGAGACAUACACACACACACACACAAAGAGACAACGAAAGAGACAAAGACAGACACACAC